AACGAACGCUGGCGGCAUGCCUAACACAUGCAAGUCGAACGAGACCUUCGGGUCUAGUGGCGCACGGGUGCGUAACGCGUGGGAACCUGCCUUUAGGUCCGGAAUAACUCAGAGAAAUUUGAGCUAAUACCGGAUGAUGUCUUCGGACCAAAGAUUUAUCGCCUUUAGAUGGGCCCGCGUUGGAUUAGCUAGUUGGUGGGGUAAAGGCCUACCAAGGCGACGAUCCAUAGCUGGUCUGAGAGGAUGAUCGGCCACACUGGGACUGAGACACGGCCCAGACUCCUACGGGAGGCAGCAGUGGGGAAUAUUGGACAAUGGGCGAAAGCCUGAUCCAGCAAUGCCGCGUGAGUGAUGAAGGCCUUAGGGUUGUAAAGCUCUUUUACCCGAGAUGAUAAUGACAGUAUCGGGAGAAUAAGCUCCGGCUAACUCCGUG
Molecule: ribosomal RNA, 433 nt
Filed under: uncultured bacterium
Lineage: Bacteria
Description: partial 16S ribosomal RNA
Rfam family: Bacterial small subunit ribosomal RNA
Source: RNAcentral